Molecule: small nuclear RNA, 107 nt
Organism: Monodelphis domestica (gray short-tailed opossum)
Lineage: Eukaryota; Metazoa; Chordata; Mammalia; Didelphimorphia; Didelphidae
Source: Ensembl
GUAAUCACUUGGGAAGCACAUAUGCUGAAGCUGGAAUUAUACAGAAAAGAUUGACAUGACCCCUUCAUAAAGAUGACAUUAAAAUUCAUAAAGGUUUCCAUACAUCU